RNAcentral lists this ribosomal RNA (265 nucleotides) under uncultured bacterium. RNAcentral's name for it is "partial 16S ribosomal RNA". It matches the Rfam family "Bacterial small subunit ribosomal RNA", at positions 793 to 1055 of the family's 1533-position model. The record is from RNAcentral.
GUCCACGCCGUAAACGAUGAGUGCUAGGUGCUGUGGGUAUUGACCCCCGCGGUGCCGCAGCCAACGCGUUAAGCACUCCGCCUGGGGAGUACGGCCGCAAGGCUAAAACUCAAAGGAAUUGACGGGGGCCCGCACAAGCGGUGGAGCAUGUGGUUCAAUUCGACGCAACGCGCAGAACCUUACCUGGGUUAAAUCCACUAGAAGAUUGCAGAGAUGCGAUUGUGCUCUUCGGAGAGCUAGUGAGAAGGUGCUGCAUGGCUGUCGU